Molecule: transfer RNA, 72 nt
Filed under: Bacillus wiedmannii
Lineage: Bacteria; Bacillati; Bacillota; Bacilli; Caryophanales; Bacillaceae
Description: tRNA-OTHER
Rfam family: tRNA
About the family: Transfer RNA (tRNA) molecules are approximately 80 nucleotides in length. Their secondary structure includes four short double-helical elements and three loops (D, anti-codon, and T loops). Further hydrogen bonds mediate the characteristic L-shaped molecular structure. tRNAs have two regions of fundamental functional importance: the anti-codon, which is responsible for specific mRNA codon recognition, and the 3' end, to which the tRNAs corresponding amino acid is attached (by aminoacyl-tRNA synthetases). tRNAs cope with the degeneracy of the genetic code in two manners: having more than one tRNA (with a specific anti-codon) for a particular amino acid; and 'wobble' base-pairing, i.e. permitting non-standard base-pairing at the 3rd anti-codon position.
Source: RNAcentral
GGAACGGUAGAGAAAUGGGUAACUCGCUAUUGACGAAUAGAGUUGAGGGUUCGAAUCCCUCUCGUUCCACCG